AUAGGUCUAUGUAGAUUCUCUAGUACUUCAUUAUUCUGUCUUCAUAAGUUGUAUUUCUAGACAUACAUAUUUUAUCUGGUUGUCUAGUUUGAUUGCAUUUAAUCGCACACAGCACUCAUUUUUAUUUCUCUGAAAGUGGUAAUCGUCAAGUCCAAAAGUAAUUAAGGAAACAUUGUUCUCUGUAGUUCUGUAGUGCCUGCUAGCAUAGCAAAGUGCAUGCUGUCCUUGAGGCCCACUCAGUGCCUGUGUUUUUUCUCAGUUCUGCUUGUCCCACCCCUUACCCUAAAUUUCUGCAGCUUUCCUUCCCCCAGUGUCUCAUUCCUAUACAACCCUGCCCUUUUGGCCAUAUGCUCUCUUGGUUCUCUCUUUUGUCUUUCUCUCUUGGUCCUCCUCUCUUUCUCUUCUCAUGGCC
Molecule: long non-coding RNA, 412 nt
Filed under: Rattus norvegicus (Norway rat)
Lineage: Eukaryota; Metazoa; Chordata; Mammalia; Rodentia; Muridae
Description: long non-coding RNA NONRATT031158
Source: RNAcentral